This 894-nucleotide non-coding RNA is filed under the name Polypedates otilophus (Bongon whipping frog). RNAcentral describes it as "partial 12S rRNA". It matches the Rfam family "Bacterial small subunit ribosomal RNA". Lineage: Eukaryota; Metazoa; Chordata; Amphibia; Anura; Rhacophoridae. The record is from RNAcentral.
UUCUCGACUUACACAUGCAAGUCUCCGCAGUCCAGUGAGAACGCCCUUAAAACCUCUUUAGGUCAAGGAGCCGACAUCAGGCACAGCAAGUCUUACCCACAACGUCUAGUCUCACCACACCUUCAAAGGUACUCAGCAGUGAUUAAAUUUGUCUAUGAGCGCCAGCUUGAAUCAGUUAGAGAAAUUAGAGCCGGCCAAUUCGGUGCCAGCCGCCGCGGCUACACCGCAAGGCUCAAGUUGAUAUUAGUCGGCGUCAAGCGUGAUUAAAGGAACCCAAAAUUAGGAUCGAACUCAGACUUAGCUGUUUAAAGCAAGCCCCGGAGAAGACCACGCACGAAAGUUAUUCUAAUUAAUCUCUUGAAUACACGAUAGUUUGGGGACAAACUGGGAUUAGAUACCCCACUAUGCCAAAUCGUAAAUCUAAAUUACAUACAAAACGCCAGGGUAUUACGAGCUUUAGCUUAAAACCCAAAGGACUUGACGGUGUCCUACCCAACUAGAGGAGCCUGUUCUAUAAUCGAUAACCCACGAUAUACCUAACCAUUUUUUGCUACUCAGUCUGUAUACCUCCGUCGUAAGCCUACCAUUUGAAUGAAUUAGUGGGCACAAGGACUCAUCGCCAAAACGUCAGGUCAAGGUGCAGCUUAUAAAGUGGAAGAGAUGGGCUACAAUUUCUAAACUAGAACAAACGAAUUACUAUAUGAAAUAUAGUCACGAAGGUGGAUUUAGCAGUAAGUAGGGAAUAGAGAGCCCCACUUAACCUGGCCCUAGGACGUGUACAAACCGCCCGUCACCCUCUUCAAUAACCUUAAUUAAGAUACAUAACACAAUUUAGUACCCUAGAAGAGGUAAGUCGUAACAUGGUAAGUAUACUGGAAAGUGUACUUGGAAUAA